RNAcentral lists this long non-coding RNA (796 nucleotides) under Gallus gallus (chicken). Its description in RNAcentral is "long non-coding RNA NONGGAT002542". Lineage: Eukaryota; Metazoa; Chordata; Aves; Galliformes; Phasianidae. The record is from RNAcentral.
GGCGGGGCUGCCUCGUGCUUUUCUGUGAACUUCCAAUUGAAGCAAAUUUCGGUGUGAGUUUUGAAGUAGAAACGGCUACGUAAGACGUGUGGCACUGCUCCGUGCAGGAAUUACUGAAUGAAAUGAAUUUCCUCAUGAACAAAGUUCUCAGGGUUUUACAUAAAGGUGCACUGUGCACAAGAAUUGCCUCCUGCUCAGAAGUACUUGAAUUCCUCCUGGUGGCAACAGAAGGCAGUGAUGUGCAGUUGUUUAACACCUCUAAAAUACAAGGAAUUUCUCCCUGGUGGUAGCAGCUAUUUCUGUUCCGAGGAACGCUGAGCACUUUCCAGAUCUUUCUGAGGUCCUUUGCAUCAUCUGACAUUUCUGCAGGCAGUGGUUGCUCAGUGCUGAAUUUGAUGGCAAACUGCAGCUGUGAAGUUACAGGAGACAAGAGAACUUCUCUAUUAGUCGUCCAAACACAGACAUUUCAACAUGAGGCCGAAGAAAGAUGAUCAUUUUCAGUGUAAGGAGGAAGCAGACACCCAGCAUCAGUUGCGGGAUCCCCAGCAAUGGCAGCAGAAUCAGCAUUGUCUGGGAGGUAACCAUUGCACAGGGAUUUGGAGCACAUCAGGAACAAACGUAAACACAUGAGAUCUGCUUCAGGACUGGGGCAUUUCCAGGUGAAGUCAUAGAUUAUGACAUGCCAUCGUAAAAAUGUGGCUAAAGAUCACGCAGGCUUCUUUCUGUUGCUCAAUCUGAAUUCUGCACUUUUGUCAGCAUCUCCUUUAAAAUAAGGCACAAAAAGAAAGGAACUCUG